CAGUAGCCGCGGUAAUACGUAGGUCCCGAGCGUUGUCCGGAUUUAUUGGGCGUAAAGCGAGCGCAGGCGGUUAGAUAAGUCUGAAGUUAAAGGCUGUGGCUUAACCAUAGUACGCUUUGGAAACUGUUUAACUUGAGUGCAAGAGGGGAGAGUGGAAUUCCAUGUGUAGCGGUGAAAUGCGUAGAUAUAUGGAGGAACACCGGUGGCGAAAGCGGCUCUCUGGCUUGUAACUGACGCUGAGGCUCGAAAGCGUGGGGAGCAAACAGGAUUAGAGACCCGUGUAGUCCCUGUCUCUUAUACC
This 301-nucleotide ribosomal RNA is filed under the name uncultured bacterium. RNAcentral describes it as "partial 16S ribosomal RNA". It matches the Rfam family "Bacterial small subunit ribosomal RNA", at positions 509 to 808 of the family's 1533-position model. The record is from RNAcentral.